This 74-nucleotide transfer RNA is filed under the name Pseudogymnoascus destructans 20631-21. RNAcentral's name for it is "tRNA-Tyr (GTA) (tRNA-Tyr-GTA-1-1, tRNA-Tyr-GTA-1-2)". It matches the Rfam family "tRNA". Rfam says of the family: Transfer RNA (tRNA) molecules are approximately 80 nucleotides in length. Their secondary structure includes four short double-helical elements and three loops (D, anti-codon, and T loops). The record is from RNAcentral. Lineage: Eukaryota; Fungi; Ascomycota; Leotiomycetes; Thelebolales; Thelebolaceae.
CCCUUUGUAGCUCAGUUGGAUUAGAGCAUCGGACUGUAAAUCCGGGGGCCCCGGUUCGAUUCCGGGCGAAGGGA